RNAcentral lists this transfer RNA (71 nucleotides) under Pseudecheneis immaculata. RNAcentral's name for it is "tRNA-Ser". It matches the Rfam family "tRNA". From Rfam's summary of the family: Transfer RNA (tRNA) molecules are approximately 80 nucleotides in length. The record is from RNAcentral. Lineage: Eukaryota; Metazoa; Chordata; Actinopteri; Siluriformes; Sisoridae.
AAGAAAGUGGCAGAGUGGUUAUGUGAUUGGCUUGAAACCAGUUUAUGGGGGUUCAAUUCCCUCCUUUCUCG